UCAUAUCUUGAAUAAUUCACAUGUCCCUCAUAGUCUCUCCAAAUCUCUCAAAUCUCUUUCCUUUUUUGCAGAAACAAAGGAACACACACAACUUUAGUUUGAUUUUUGGUGACCAAGAAACAACAAGGCAUAUUUGCUCGUUUGUUCGAUUCUCAUUUUGGAGUGCGACUUUAAUAAAUGAAAUCCCGUUUAUGUUCUCUAGGCCAUCCACCAAGUUGAAGAAAGGUAUCCAUUUAAUUCUUCUUGUAGUUAGUCUUUUCGUUGUUUGAAUUUUAUGAACACAGGUCCAAUAGCUAGAUCAUGAUAUUUUGAUAAAUUCCUCCUGUUCUAGUUUUGAUUUGUAAAUUUUGAUUGAGCAUCAUUAUCCAACAGUGAUAUAAGAGCAUCGUGUUCAUCAUUUCUUGCAUAACAAAAAAAUUUAUUUUGAUGAUAAUUUAUUAAGUAUGAUCUUGUACACACAAAUGUGAAGUUAUGUGUACCAUAUAUACAUAUAGAAAUUUCAAAAGGUUUUAAAAACAAUAAUAAUAUACUAGUUGUGAGACCCAUGUAUUACAUGAGUUAUUUUUUUUUAAAAAAGUUAAAUAUAAAUGUAUAAAUAUUUGAAAACUUUGAAUUUAUUAGAAAAUAAGAAAAAUAAUGAAUUGUCAAAAUUGAAAUGUUAUUUUGAUCUUUUAAAUUAAAGAAAUAAUUUAGAUAAAUAAACAAAUUUUUUUGAAAAUUUAAAAUUAUAAGGUAACUCCAUUAAUGAAAUUGAUAUCUAUUUAUUACAAAAUUUAUUGUAAUUAUUACAUUAAAAUAGUAUGUGGAAUUUAAAAAAAUAGAAAUGCCAUAAAAUGACAUAUGGAAAAAAAUUAAUUAAAAAUAACCACACGAUGACGUUUAACAAAAUAUAUGAGAAUAAGACAUGUGACAAAAAAAGCUUCAUUUAUUAGAAUAUAUAUAUAUAUAUAUANNNNNNNNNNNNNNNNNNNNNNNNNNNNNNNNNNNNNNNNNNNNNNNNNNNNNNNNNNNNNNNNNNNNNNNNNNNNNNNNNNNNNNNNNNNNNNNNNNNNNNNNNNNNNNNNNNNNNNNNNNNNNNNNNNNNNNNNNNNNNNNNNNNNUAUAUAUAUAUAUAUAUUGUAGUGACAAAGAACAUGGUUUGGCAUGCGGAAUUUAAGUUUGCACAAUUGAACAUGAUGAUUUGGGUGCUAAAAGAUAUAUUCGAUCAUAGUAAAUGAGUACAAAAAUGGAUCUAGUCUAGAGCUUCAUAAAUAUCUCACUCAUUAAUCACUAUGACUACAUCUCUCAAGCACACCUCUACAAGUGGACAAACCCACCUUAUAUGGAGGCGUUUGCAUGUCUCUCUCUCACUGUCACUAACAAAUGGGUCUAAAGGCUAAUGCACCACAUGCAAGUGAGUUUUACAAAAGUCAAACAUUUACAAAGUCAAUCAUGAAUAACUUUGCACCCCAACAUUCUCCCCCUCAAAGUUAGGAAUGAAUGACCCACUUUACAUCUUCAAAAAUCAAGCACUACGCGGUUCGAGCCUCAAAGGUGACAUAUGUUGAAAUAAACUUCAAUCUUCAAUUCUUCCAUGAUUCUUCAAUUUGGGCUUUAGGAUGUGAGACCAUACAAUCCGAGCAGCAACGAAUGAUCAAGAGUAUUCCAAACUCCAAAUAAUCACCCAUAAGUUGCGCACAAAAAAACACCCCAAAAAUCUUCAAUAAAUCCAAACCCAUUUCGAAUACAUCACUUCCGAACUUCCAAUUGCAUCAUCUCGUGGGCUUCAAAACUUCAAGAUCACUUCAGUCUUCAAAUCCGUGUAAUAUGAAAAAUUCAAGUUCGAAUUUCCAUAUAAAACUUCUCCCCCUUUUUAUAAUCGAAAUUUGAUUAUAAAACUCCAAGGAAAAAGAACGUGCUCUAUUUAGAAUUUUUCAUGUCAAAACUCCCCCUUAACAUGUGGCAUAAACUCUGUGCUUCAAUCUGGAAAACCCAAAAAAUAAUAAAUUUUUAUUGUCAUUCACGGAUUGCCUUUGACAAAAUUUCUCAAAAAUGGGUAGAAAUUGUCAAUUUUAAAAUUCUGCAGUGAUCCGUUGCGCCCAAAACAACCAAAUAUGCAAAACUCUCCCCCUUUUCCAAAUCUGGGUAGAAAGCGUUAAUUUGCACAAACUGCAGGGACCUGAAAUGCAUUUUCUUCAAUUUCAGCAAAAACAGUCCUUUUUCGAAUUUGGGUAUGAACCGCCAAACAUUCGAAAUUUCAGGGGCUGAAUUUGAAAAAUUCUGCUUUUUGAUCAAAAUGUUCAAAAAUUUUGCCAAUCAUUCGAAGCCUUGCCCCAACAUUCGAAGUUAAACCAUUUGUGUCACUUUGUUAAAAGAGCAGGGACCAAAAUUGUAACUGUUCGGUUUCUUCUCCAACUCACCGAUUCACUUGGUGCGAAGCGACGCUUCGUACAAAACUGCAUCCAACACACACGAUAUANNNNNNNNNNNNNNNNNNNAGAGUUAGGUUCAAAUGUUUUUAGCAAAUAGUGUGUGACUAAAUGCACCAAUGAGAAUUCAAGAAUAAUAAAUCAUUAAAUAAAUUAAAAAAGGGUAUAAUGGUAAACUUCCUAUAUCUAAUUAUGGUAAAAAAUAAUUCAAUGAAUAUCUCCUUAAUUAGUUUAACCCUACAAAGCCCACAUCCCUAACCUUAAAGAGUACGGCGGCUUCCUUAAAUCAUCAAUAUCUCAGUUCCUCCUUUCCACCAGAAAUCAUCGAUACCUCAAUUCCUCCUUUCCACCAGAAAUCGAUUCUUUCACAGCUGCAUGUUCGUCGGCCUAUUAUGAUCGGAAAGAGGCUAGAAGUGAGGGUUAGGUGGUGCUGGUGGAUCGCUAGCAUAGGCGAUGGAGGGAGGCCGGCAGCGCAGGGCUGCUCCCCUCGGCUCCAUUCUUCUUCUGGUCCGAUUGUCUUGAAACACAAGGGUGGUUGCAAAUUGGGAGUUGUAAGGCGACAGUAAGUCGUAUGGGGUGGUGGCAAUCGGCAGGUGGGUGGAAUCGGUGAUGGAGGAAGCUGUUCAACAAUGAUUCAAUCAAUAGGUAAAGGCUCCUUUUUUUUCUUUUUUUUCUUGUUUGAUUUGGCAGAAUUACAUAGGUGUUCGUUUGAUUAAGAAUCAAUGGAUGUUUGUAGAAAUGCCUCAAAGAGAAUUUGACAGCUUUGUUGUAGAAAUGGCCUAAAAGAAAUUUUGAUUUAUAUGUUGCACGCCAGGUGUUUGUAGAAAUGCCUCAGAGAGUAUUUCUUUUAUUUUCAUCAUUAAACCUUUUGAUAUGUUUUUUUUGUUGUUUUAUUAACUCCUUGUUUGUUAAUUACCUGAGUAACAUCAAUCUUUUCUAUUGGUAUUUGAUUUUUUUAAUCAAUUUAGGGUGAAGAUUUGAUUAAGGGUUUAUAAGAGAUUUUCACAAAUUUGAGACAUUUUAGAACUUAAACAUUGUAUGAAUGAGAAAACUAUUCUCAAAAGCAUUUGUAAUCACAUGAUUAAAUAAGCAAUAUGUGGAAAAUAUCAAAAUCUAACCUUCUAAUAUUUGAAAAUUAUUAAACUUAACAUGUUUCACUGUUCACAAUUUUAUAAUCUUGAUUUAGUAGCAAAUUUUAUGUAAUCUAUCAGAAUAUAUUCUAUGUAUUCUUCCAGAAUAUAUAAAAUGCUAGGAAUUGCAAGUAACAUUAUAGUAAUUCUGACAGAAUGCAUUUAUACAUUCUAUGCUUUAGAAUGUUUAUAUAUAGAGAAAUACGAUUGUAAAUGGAAAAUCACAUGCUUUUAAUUCUUUAUAGUGGCAUGUAAAGUUAUAACUAGCAGAUUUUAUUCUAUGUAUUCUGCGAGAUUGUAUUCUAUGUAUUAUGCAAGAUUAUGUUCUGUAUAUUCUACCGGAAUGAAUUAUAUGUAUUCUCCCAGGAUGUAUAAAAUAAUAGGAAUUGCAAGCAACAAGUUUUUAACCAUUAUUAGUUUUUGUUGCAUUUGUGAUAGGAAUGGUCGGAAGAAUGGCUUGAAGACCUGAUAAGAAUGACUUGAAGAAUGAGCCAAAGAUUGAUGACACUCACAGUUUAAGAAUGUUCUUAUUUUUUAAGAAUUACACUUGUAUUUAUUCAUUAACUGUAUAUUCAAGAAUGCUGAUUUUUUAUGAUAUUCUUUUAGAAUAUGUAUAAAUAUAUUACAAUGUAGAAGGCUAUUAGUAUGUAAGAAUAUGUAUGAAUUUCUAUUUAAGUUCGAAUGUAUAUGAAAAUAUUAAAAUGUUGUUAUUCUUCAACUAGGAGUUCAAGAAUUCUGUUAUUCUUCGCUAAUAUUCUACUAGAAUUAAACUCUGAAAGAACAUCAUUCAAACAAAAAUUCAUUCUGACGGAAUAAAAUCGGUUAUGUUUACAAAUUAUGUUUAGAAUUAAUUGAAAUUAAUUUAAAAAAUUAAGAUUUUAAAAUUAGAAGUGUUAAUGAUCCCUUAAAAUCCGAAAAUUACAUUUUUUAAAAUAGGUUAAUUGACCAAAAUGCUCUUUUUCUAAAAUUUGUGUGAUUAUAUGGUACAUACUACUUUAUUGUAAUAUCAUAGACCCUCAGAUCAUAAUCAUUGAUUUUAUUCAUCUGGUGGUCCAGAUCUGUGCAUUAUGACACACAAUAGUUAGUAAAAACAAAAUAACCUA
RNAcentral lists this long non-coding RNA (4641 nucleotides) under Lactuca sativa (garden lettuce). RNAcentral describes it as "long non-coding RNA (LSAT_LNC003792)". Lineage: Eukaryota; Viridiplantae; Streptophyta; Magnoliopsida; Asterales; Asteraceae. The record is from RNAcentral.